Molecule: non-coding RNA, 84 nt
Filed under: Orenia marismortui
Lineage: Bacteria; Bacillati; Bacillota; Clostridia; Halanaerobiales; Halobacteroidaceae
Also listed under: 1 other name
Description: c-di-GMP-II sequence
Rfam family: Cyclic di-GMP-II riboswitch aptamer
Source: Rfam by way of RNAcentral
GAAUAUAAGAGAUACUGUGAAGUAUAAUCUAUAUUUGGUCACCUGGAUUAUAUGGAGUUAGUGGUGAAACCUCCCUUUAAGGGG